CCUACGGGAGGCAGCAGUGAGGAAUAUUGGUCAAUGGGCGCGAGCCUGAACCAGCCAAGUAGCGUGAAGGAUGACUGCCCUACGGGUUGUAAACUUCUUUUAUCAAGGAAUAAAGUGAGGCACGUGUGCCUUUUUGUAUGUACUUUAUGAAUAAGGACCGGCUAACUCCGUGCCAGCCGCCGCGGUAAUACGGAGGAUCCGAGCGUUAUCCGGAUUUAUUGGGUGUAAAGGGAGCGUAGUUGGAUUGUUAAGGCAGUUGUAAACGUGUGCGGCUCAACCGUGACAGUGCAGUUGAAACUGGGAGUCGUGAGGACGGAAGAGGUGGGAGGAAGGCGUGGUGGAGCGGUGAAAUGCUUAGAGAUCACGAAGAACUCCGAUUGCGAAGGCAGCUGACUGGACUGCAACUGACACUGAGGCUCGAAAGUGUGGGUAUCAAACAGGAUUAGAGACCCUUGUAGUC
This 460-nucleotide ribosomal RNA is filed under the name uncultured bacterium. RNAcentral describes it as "partial 16S ribosomal RNA". It matches the Rfam family "Bacterial small subunit ribosomal RNA", at positions 338 to 795 of the family's 1533-position model. The record is from RNAcentral.